GACGAACGCUGGCGGCGUGCUUAACACAUGCAAGUCGAACGGAAAGGCCCUGCUUUUGUGGGGUGCUCGAGUGGCGAACGGGUGAGUAACACGUGAGUAACCUGCCCUUGACUUUGGGAUAACUUCAGGAAACUGGGGCUAAUACCGGAUAGGAGCUCCUGCUGCAUGGUGGGGGUUGGAAAGUUUCGGCGGUUGGGGAUGGACUCGCGGCUUAUCAGCUUGUUGGUGGGGUAGUGGCUUACCAAGGCUUUGACGGGUAGCCGGCCUGAGAGGGUGACCGGCCAAAUUGGGACUGAGAUACGGCCCAGACUACUACGGGAGGCAGCAGUGGGGAAUAGUGCACAAUGGGCGGAAGCCUGAUGCAGCAACGCCGCGUGCGGGAUGACGGCCUUCGGGUUGUAAACCGCUUUCGCCUGUGACGAAGCGUGAGUGACGGUAAUGGGUAAAGAAGCACCGGCUAACUACGUG
RNAcentral lists this ribosomal RNA (468 nucleotides) under uncultured bacterium. RNAcentral describes it as "partial 16S ribosomal RNA". It matches the Rfam family "Bacterial small subunit ribosomal RNA", at positions 28 to 507 of the family's 1533-position model. The record is from RNAcentral.